GACGAACGCUGGCGGCGUGCCUAAUACAUGCAAGUUGAGCGCUGAAGGUUGGUACUUGUACCGACUGGAUGAGCAGCGAACGGGUGAGUAACGCGUGGGGAAUCUGCCUUUGAGCGGGGACAACAUUUGGAAGCGAAUGCUAAUACCGCAUAAAAACUUUAAACACAAGUUUUAAGUUUGAAAGAUGCAAUUGCAUCACUCAAAGAUGAUCCCGCGUUGUAUUAGCUAGUUGGUGAGGUAAAGGCUCACCAAGGCGAUGAUACAUAGCCGACCUGAGAGGGUGAUCGGCCACAUUGGGACUGAGACACGGCCCAAACUCCUACGGGAGGCAGCAGGAGGGAAUCUUCGGCAAUGGACGAAAGUCUGACCGAGCAACGCCGCGUGAGUGAAGAAGGUUUUCGGAUCGUAAAACUCGGUUGGUAGAGGAGAACGUUGGUGAGAGUGGAAAGCUCAUCAAGUGACGGUAACUACCCAGAAAGGGACGGCUAACUACGUG
This 496-nucleotide ribosomal RNA is filed under the name uncultured bacterium. RNAcentral describes it as "partial 16S ribosomal RNA". It matches the Rfam family "Bacterial small subunit ribosomal RNA", at positions 28 to 507 of the family's 1533-position model. The record is from RNAcentral.